GUCUUAACGGCUAGUGUCUUGGCAAUCCUCCUUGGGCUUCAGCUUUUGCAAAUAACAGUGGUUUCUCUGAUUAGUUUGGUAUUUGCCGCCAUAUGAUCACGUCAAAAUGUACAAUUCUGCAAGAAUUGAGGUCUAUGUUGCUCAGACUUGGCAAUUUUUCUGCCUCACUCGCAUCAAUGCAAUACAACAAGGAUAUGGGUUGGAAAUUCAAAACCGAUACUUGACCUUACUAUUGGAGACUUCAUGCUGCAAUGAAUGGGAAUUGAACACGAAAGAGUAGGUGAGAUGACAAAGAGCAGUGCGAUCCAAGUAUCUAGCUAUACGGAUCUACUUUUCAGUAGAUGGGGUCAGGCGAGCAUUUGACAAAUCUGGACUCUCUAUCUCAAGGAAGCUUGUGAGCAAGGUUUUUCUUGAAGAUUGUGUUUUUCCACUACCUGAAGAGAAAUUCUG
This is a long non-coding RNA of Beta vulgaris subsp. vulgaris (sugar beet), 450 nucleotides long. RefSeq lists it as uncharacterized. The transcript has 3 exons. NCBI's taxonomy places the organism in Eukaryota, Viridiplantae, Streptophyta, Magnoliopsida, Caryophyllales, Amaranthaceae. The record is from RefSeq and is a predicted model, not a curated record.